RNAcentral lists this ribosomal RNA (915 nucleotides) under Archaeospora schenckii. Its description in RNAcentral is "eukaryotic LSU rRNA". It matches the Rfam family "Eukaryotic large subunit ribosomal RNA", at positions 1 to 802 of the family's 3401-position model. Lineage: Eukaryota; Fungi; Glomeromycota; Glomeromycetes; Archaeosporales; Archaeosporaceae. The record is from RNAcentral.
GACCUCAAAUCAGGCAAGAGUACCCGCUGAACUUAAGCAUAUCAAUAAGCGGAGGAAAAGAAACUAACCAGGAUUCCCCUAGUAACGGCGAGUGAAGCGGGAACAGCCCAAAUUUUAAAUCGAUCAAAAGGUCGAGUUGUAAUUUGUAGAAUUGCUUUCCACGUCUUUAUCCGAUGAAAAGUCCCUUGGAAUAGGGCAUCACAGAGGGUGAUAAUCCCGUAUUUUAUCGUGAUUUUGACGUCGUGUGUAGUAAUUUCAAAGAGUCGAGUUGUUUGGGAUUGCAGCUCAAAACGGGUGGUAAAUUCCAUCUAAGGCUAAAUAACGGCAAGAGACCGAUAGCGAACAAGUACCGUGAGGGAAAGAUGAAAAGAACUUUGAAAAGAGAGUUAAACAGUACGUGAAAUUGUUGAAAGGGAAACGAUUGAGGCCAGUCAUGCCUGCGAGAAAUCAAUCAAUUGAUUGGGUUUUCUUUUGAAUUCUUAGUUAGUUGGUGCACUUUUUCGCGUGGCAGGUUAGCAUCAACUUUGAUUGUUGUAAAAUGGUGGUCGGAAUGUGACUCUUUUAGAGUGUUAUAGCCGAUUACAGAUGCAACGAUCGAGGUUGAGGUUUGCGACAAAUGCCUUUGGGCUACUUACCUUCCUUCUGAUAUGUUCACUUUGAAAUGACAGCUUGCUGAUAUUUUAAAGGGCGUUCAAUCAAUAGGGUAGAGUAGGAUAAAUUUGGCAAGGAUGCUGACGUAAUGACCUUAAACGACCCGUCUUGAAACACGGACCAAGGAGUCCAACAUACGUGCGAGUGUUUGGGUGGCAAACCCAUACGCGAAAUGAAGGUGAACGUAGGUGGGAUCUGUCGUUUCACGACGAUAGUGCAGCAUCGACCGAUCCGGAGAUUUAUUGAUAGAUUUGAGUAAGAGCA